GUUGUCGGAUUCACUUCAAUCUAUGUGUUGGUGUGGAUUGGGUGAAAUUUAGUUCAAGUUCCACUUCAAUUUAUCUCAACACAUGUGGAUUGAUAUGAAUACGACU
Molecule: microRNA precursor, 106 nt
Filed under: Sorghum bicolor (sorghum)
Lineage: Eukaryota; Viridiplantae; Streptophyta; Magnoliopsida; Poales; Poaceae
Description: MIR5565 microRNA precursor family
Rfam family: MIR5565 microRNA precursor family
Source: Rfam by way of RNAcentral